UGAUAAUUUAUUUGAUGACAUAUUAUAACAUGAGUGCUGCUACGGGUACUAGUAUUAUUGGUAUAUGGGGCGCAUUUUCAAGUGGAUUAGCUAUUGUUGGGGCGAUUAUUGCUGAUUGUUAUUGGGGUCGAUUUAAUGCUGUUGCCUAUGGAACCAUCUUCACUUUUAUUGGAAUGGUUAUUCUUUGGCUAACAUCAAUGAUUCCGCAACUCACGACUUUGGCCUGUUCUCAGUUGCAACAUGUUUGUAAUGGACCAACAGCAUUCCAGCUUGCUGUUCUGUUUUCAUCUUUUGUGUUUACGUCUAUCGGAGCUGGUUUUGUUAGACCUUGUUCUAUAAUGUUUGGUGCUGAUCAAUUGGAACAAAAAGGGAACCCUAAGAAUGAGAAGAUUAUUGAAAGCUAUUUCAAUUGGUACUAUGCUAGCUCAGGGGUUUCAACGAUUCUCGCAGUUACUCUUAUCGUUUAUAUUCAAGAUCUUUAUGGUUGGAAAGUUGGCUUUGGUGUCCCUGCUAUCCUUAUGUUUUUGUCCGUCUUAACGUUCCAAAUCGGUUCUCCUCUUUAUAUCAAAGUGAAAACUGAUACAAACAACUUGCUAGUAGGAUUGUCCCAAGCAUGUGUAGCAGCAUUUAGAAAAAGAAAAACCC
Molecule: unclassified non-coding RNA, 645 nt
Filed under: Hevea brasiliensis (rubber tree)
Lineage: Eukaryota; Viridiplantae; Streptophyta; Magnoliopsida; Malpighiales; Euphorbiaceae
Source: RNAcentral